AGAGUUUGAUCCUGGCUCAGAUUGAACGCUGGCGGCAUGCCUUACACAUGCAAGUCGAACGGCUGCACGGGAGCAAUCCUGGUGGCGAGUGGCGAACGGGUGAGUAAUAUAUCGGAACGUGCCCAGUCGUGGGGGAUAACGCAGCGAAAGCUGUGCUAAUACCGCAUACGAUCUCUGGAUGAAAGCGGGGGACUCGCAAGGGCCUCGCGCGAUUGGAGCGGCCGAUAUCAGAUUAGCUAGUUGGUGGGGUAAAAGCCCACCAAGGCGACGAUCUGUAGCUGGUCUGAGAGGACGACCAGCCACACUGGAAAUGAGACACGGUCCAGACUCCCACGGGAGGCAGCAGUGGGGAAUUUUGGACAAUGGGCGCA
RNAcentral lists this ribosomal RNA (371 nucleotides) under uncultured bacterium. RNAcentral's name for it is "bacterial SSU rRNA". It matches the Rfam family "Bacterial small subunit ribosomal RNA", at positions 8 to 379 of the family's 1533-position model. The record is from RNAcentral.